RNAcentral lists this ribosomal RNA (301 nucleotides) under uncultured bacterium. RNAcentral's name for it is "partial 16S ribosomal RNA". It matches the Rfam family "Bacterial small subunit ribosomal RNA", at positions 509 to 807 of the family's 1533-position model. The record is from RNAcentral.
CAGUAGCCGCGGGAAAACGAAGGGGGCAAGCGUUGUUCGGAAUUACUGGGCGUAAAGGGCGCGUAGGCGGCCAUUCAAGUUAGAUGUGAAAGCCCUGGGCUCAACCUAGGAAUUGCAUUUGAUACUGUUUGGCUUGAGUUCGGGAGAGGUGAGUGGAAUUCCCAGUGUAGAGGUGAAAUUCGUAGAUAUCGGGAGGAACACCUGUGGCGAAAGCGGCUCACUGGACCACAACUGACGCUGAGACACGAAAGCUAGGGGAGCAAACAGGAUUAGAUACCCGCGUAGUCCCUGUCUCUUAUAC